This 693-nucleotide ribosomal RNA is filed under the name Triticum aestivum (bread wheat). Its description in RNAcentral is "partial small subunit ribosomal RNA". The record is from RNAcentral. Lineage: Eukaryota; Viridiplantae; Streptophyta; Magnoliopsida; Poales; Poaceae.
AUGUCUGAGGAUGUGAAAAAGAAGUUUCAGAAGUACUGGACUGAUAUCCAUGGUCUGAUGGCUAUUUCUACUGUUCUUGACCCAAGAUACAAACUCCAUAUGGUGUAGGCUUUGUACGGUCCUCUCUAUGGACCUGAGGCUGCAAUUCAGGAGGUUGCGCGUGUGAAGCAAUUGCUCCGAGAAUUGUUGGUUGCAUACCAAGAUGCCUCUUCCACGGGAACAUCAAAUGUUGCUAGUGCUUCACAGGCCACUGCUUCAGCUUCACGGGAUGAAGUUUUUGACAUAUUUGAACGAAACAUGUCUUCACAACCUACAACUUCAUCUUUGUUGGUUCAUACAGAGCUAGACUUGUAUUUAGAAGAGCCAACUUUGCCAAGAACACCUGAUUUUGAUAUCAUCAAUUGGUGGAAGUUUAGAGGGAUAAAAUAUCCUACUCUACAGCUUAUUGCUCAUGACAUCUCGUCUAUUCCAGUCACAACGGUAGCAUCAGAAUAUGCAUUCUCUACAAGUGGUAGAAUCCUUAGUCCUCACCUCAGUAUACUUGCACCAAACAUAGUUGAAGCUAUAAUGUGUAUGCAAGCUUGGUCUAAUGCUGACAUGCUAGGUGAGACAAUUCAAAUGCUGCUCUUUUGCUUCAAUUUUACUGCUGGUUUGUUGUUACUACACUACUUUUUUGCUUGGAUAAUUUACUAG